UCUUCCUUGGUGCAUCUGACAAAGUGAAGUGCUUUGACACCGGCAAACAAUUGAAAGCACAGGUGUUUACACAGGCUGAAAAGAAGGAUGUGUUUAGAUGUGGCACCACAAGCUUCCAUUACUGUCAAUUUAGAAGAGGCAGAGAGUGUCAGAAUAACUGAAAACAUAGAUAAAAGACUGCAGAUACAGUUCCUGAUCUGUAUUUGUCACUCUAAAAUGACAGAAUGGCAAAUGAGACACUUGGUAGAAAUUCACUCAGCUGAAAAGCUAUUCUUCUAAUGUCAGAGCCAUGGGGAACUGGAAUGUGCCCAGAGACAGUAAGAUCUGCUGUCUUAUAAACUGGCACAUCAUAAUGAGGAUGGCAUAAUGCACAGCUACCAGCAAACAGCACAGAGAGCACAACAGCGAUUCAUCCAGUCCCUAACCAUUCCCAGUGCAUGCUUUAGACAUACAGACAAAACUUCUAUGACACCAGAACAGAGAGAAUUAAGAGGCACUGAACCAGGGAUUUUGCUUGACAAGACAUCAAAGAGGUAACAGCCACAAGAGGAUCAGCAGGCUAAUCUGCAAGACACAAAAAUCUGAGAAGCAAAACCAGCUUGGCUAUAGAAAGGCAGAUCCAUGGCACAGUGCAGAACACCUGAGACUGACAGACCAAUUCUGUAGCUGAGCAUCACUGGCAUGGUGAUGUCAUAUAUGAAAAUGGCCAACAGCUUACGUCUAAAGGAGGUGCAAAAUGCAAAUCAUACUGCCAGAGGCUGUGAGAGUCUGCAUCUCUACUGGGAAAGUCUUAGGGAUCUGCCAAUUCAAAAGCAUUAAGGGCCUCUACUAUGGGAGGAAUGCAGCCUCCCUGGUAAAAGUAAACUUUGGUACCUUUGAGAAGAAAUGGAAGGAAAAUGAGGCUUGACAACUCAGGGGCUGGUCUGAGGAUUUGGUUGGCUUCCCUCAUGAUGUACUAUCAGCAGCAGAUUGCAGAGCAGAUGGAAAAGAACUAGACUUCAAGCAAUGUACAAAUUAUGAAAUUGAGGAGAUUGUUUCUUUACUGUAUUACUUGAAAACUGUAUAUAAAGAACAACUGUAUCUAGGGCCAGUCAUUUGACAGGAGCUGGCAUGUAAUUGCAGCAGAGAGUUUCACAUGGAAAACACAGCAAAGACAGCCUGUUCUUCCACUCCUUGGCUGCCAAAGCAAACACCUUUGCUGUGACUUCUUAACCAUCCAAUGGUUGAUACCAACACUUGAUAUAACUUUGUCUUGUAUUGUACUGACUGUUUUAUUUUCUGGUCCCUAC
Long non-coding RNA from Passer domesticus (house sparrow), 1289 nucleotides. RefSeq lists it as uncharacterized. The transcript is spliced from 3 exons. NCBI's taxonomy places the organism in Eukaryota, Metazoa, Chordata, Aves, Passeriformes, Passeridae. The record is from RefSeq and is a predicted model, not a curated record.